RNAcentral lists this ribosomal RNA (253 nucleotides) under uncultured bacterium. RNAcentral's name for it is "partial 16S ribosomal RNA". It matches the Rfam family "Bacterial small subunit ribosomal RNA", at positions 524 to 776 of the family's 1533-position model. The record is from RNAcentral.
UACAGAGGGUGCGAGCGUUGUUCGGAAUUAUUGGGCGUAAAGGGCGCGUAGGCGGUGCGGUAAGUCACCUGUGAAACCUCUGGGCUUAACUCAGAGCCUGCAGGCGAAACUACCGUGCUGGAGUGUGGGAGAGGUGCUUGGAAUUCCCGGUGUAGCGGUGAAAUGCGUAGAUAUCGGGAAGAACACCUAUGGCGAAGGCAGCUCUCUGGGACGGUACUGACGCUGAGACGCGAAAGCGUGGGGAGCAAACAGG